UCAUUGGAAACUGGGGAACUUGAGUGCAGAAGAGGAGAGUGGAAUUCCACGUGUAGCGGUGAAAUGCGUAGAGAUGUGGAGGAACACCAGUGGCGAAGGCGACUCUCUGGUCUGUAACUGACGCUGAGGCGCGAAAGCGUGGGGAGCGAACAGGAUUAGAUACCCUGGUAGUCCACGCCGUAAACGAUGAGUGCUAAGUGUUAGAGGGUUUCCGCCCUUUAGUGCUGCAGCAAACGCAUUAAGCACUCCGCCUGGGGAGUACGGUCGCAAGACUGAAACUCAAAGGAAUUGACGGGGGCCCGCACAAGCGGUGGAGCAUGUGGUUUAAUUCGAAGCAACGCGAAGAACCUUACCAGGUCUUUGACAUCCUCUGACAACCCUAGAGAUAGGGCUUCCCCUUCGGGGGCAGAGUGACAGGUGGUGCAUGGUUGUCGUCAGCUCGUGUCGUGAGAUGUUGGGUUAAGUCCCGCAACGAGCGCAACCCUUGAUCUUAGUUGCCAGCAUUCAGUUGGGCACUCUAAGGUGACUGCCGGUGACAAACCGGAGGAAGGUGGGGAUGACGUCAAAUCAUCAUGCCCCUUAUGACCUGGGCUACACACGUGCUACAAUGGGCAGAACAAAGGGCAGCGAAGCCGCGAGGCUAAGCCAAUCCCACAAAUCUGUUCUCAGUUCGGAUCGCAGUCUGCAACUCGACUGCGUGAAGCUGGAAUCGCUAGUAAUCGCGGAUCAACCAUGCCCGG
RNAcentral lists this ribosomal RNA (740 nucleotides) under Bacillus licheniformis. Its description in RNAcentral is "bacterial SSU rRNA". It matches the Rfam family "Bacterial small subunit ribosomal RNA", at positions 623 to 1362 of the family's 1533-position model. The record is from RNAcentral. Lineage: Bacteria; Bacillati; Bacillota; Bacilli; Caryophanales; Bacillaceae.